Long non-coding RNA from Serinus canaria (Common canary), 460 nucleotides. RefSeq lists it as uncharacterized. Lineage: Eukaryota; Metazoa; Chordata; Aves; Passeriformes; Fringillidae. The record is from RefSeq and is a predicted model, not a curated record. The transcript has 2 exons.
CUCCGGCGACAGGCGGAAGAGUUAUGUGUCCCAGACUGACAUUGCUGACACCACACUCCAAUAACCCGACAGGCUCGUCUCAGGUGACCGCUCCUUCCACAUCGAUAGCAGCGCAUGGAUGAUCCUGGACGAUCGGCAGAGGUGGUGCCUGGUGCCGGAGCCCGAAGAGCGCUGUUGCAGCUUUUCAGGCUCCGGUGGCACGGAUGGCCCAAAGAACCUCUAUGCCUUUGGGGACGCCUCUCCUUGCUUUGUUGGACGCCGUCCCCGCUGCUAAAGGACCCAACGCUACUUCACCGACCGUGGCACGUCCUCCCGUGUCUUCUUUUAUUCAAGACACAGGGACCACGUUGGGCAGUCACCAUUUGUCAGAUGAAGGGAGACUCGGACACCAGAUGGUUCACCAGCAAAACUCGUUUAUUGAUCAUAUAGUUCUGGUUAAAUACAUUCCAUAAUGACCUCA